Molecule: ribosomal RNA, 253 nt
Filed under: uncultured prokaryote
Description: partial 16S ribosomal RNA
Rfam family: Bacterial small subunit ribosomal RNA
Source: RNAcentral
ACGUAGGGUGCAAGCGUUAAUCGGAAUUACUGGGCGUAAAGCGUGCGCAGGCGGUUUUGUAAGUCAGAUGUGAAAUCCCCGGGCUUAACCUGGGAACUGCGUUUGAAACUACAAGGCUAGAGUGUGGCAGAGGGGGGUGGAAUUCCACGUGUAGCAGUGAAAUGCGUAGAGAUGUGGAGGAACACCGAUGGCGAAGGCAGCCCCCUGGGUUAACACUGACGCUCAGGCACGAAAGCGUGGGGAGCAAACAGGA